GCGGGUGUAGUUCAGUGGUAGAACGCUUCCUUGCCAAGGAAGAGGUCGCCGGUUCGAUCCCGGUCGCCCGCUCCA
This 75-nucleotide transfer RNA is filed under the name Patescibacteria group bacterium. Its description in RNAcentral is "tRNA-Gly". It matches the Rfam family "tRNA". From Rfam's summary of the family: Transfer RNA (tRNA) molecules are approximately 80 nucleotides in length. Their secondary structure includes four short double-helical elements and three loops (D, anti-codon, and T loops). RNAcentral also lists the same sequence under 1 other name. The record is from RNAcentral.